AACGAACGCUGGCGGCAGGCCUAACACAUGCAAGUCGAGCGAGGUAGCAAUACCUAGCGGCGGACGGGUGAGUAACGCGCGGGAACGUGCCCUUUGCUACGGAAUAGCCUCGGGAAACUGGGAGUAAUACCGUAUGUGCCCUUCGGGGGAAAGAUUUAUCGGCAAAGGAUCGGCCCGCGUUGGAUUCGGUAGUUGGUGAGGUAAUGGCUCACCAAGCCGACGAGCCAUAGCGGGUUUGAGAGGAUGCUCAGCCACACUGGGACUGAGACACGGCCCAGACUCCUACGGGAGGCAGCAGUGGGGAAUCUUAGACAAUGGGCGCAAGCCUGAUCUAGCCAUGCCGCGUGAGCGAUGAAGGCCUUAGGGUUGUAAAGCUCUUUCAGUGGGGAAGAUAAUGACUGUACCCACAGAAGAAGCCCCGGCUAACUCCGUGCCAGCAGCCGCGGUAA
RNAcentral lists this ribosomal RNA (449 nucleotides) under uncultured bacterium. RNAcentral's name for it is "partial 16S ribosomal RNA". It matches the Rfam family "Bacterial small subunit ribosomal RNA", at positions 29 to 523 of the family's 1533-position model. The record is from RNAcentral.